GCCAGGCAUGGUGGCGUAUACCUGUAAUCCCAGGAGCUUGGGAGGCAGAAGCAGGAGGAUCGCAAGUUCAAAGCCAGCCUCAGCAACUUAAUGAGAUUCUAAGCGACUUAGUGAGACUCUGUCUCAA
RNAcentral lists this small RNA (127 nucleotides) under Marmota monax (woodchuck). Lineage: Eukaryota; Metazoa; Chordata; Mammalia; Rodentia; Sciuridae. The record is from RNAcentral.